Molecule: long non-coding RNA, 897 nt
Organism: Diorhabda sublineata
Lineage: Eukaryota; Metazoa; Arthropoda; Insecta; Coleoptera; Chrysomelidae
Exons: 2
Source: RefSeq, a predicted model, not a curated record
AGUUCAAACCGCUUGAACAUUCUCACGAUUUACUUGCUACUUACCGCAAUCAAUUGAAACUGCUAGAAUGUCAAUUACUAUCGAAUUCAAAUUAGAAGUUAAUAAAAUAAUUUCAAAGAAGAAUCACUAAUUGCUAGUAAGACUGGUUCUGAAAAGAUAUUGUUACAUACAACGAAAAUCCUAGAGCUUAGAGUUGGGAAACAUGCAAUAAACAGCAAUAAGUUAUUGGUAUUAUGAAAUAUUUUUUGUGCAUAUUCAAGAGGAAAUUUUAUAAAGAAUAAAUUGACUCCACUUGAGUCUUACCAUAGCAAUUGAUGAUUUCCUUCAAGUCUGAUGGUUCGGUGCUCGGUACAUCCGGUUGUAACUGCGUGGUAGUCCGGUUUGGGAGGCCUGAGAGGCCGUCGUGCAAGGUCAGCGACUGAUCUCCAGCAUCCAACUAAGUCAUGUCAACUAUGUUGUCAUAUUUAUUCAGUUUCCUAAAUUUACACACUUACUCCGAUUUUUACGGAAACGACGUUAUUCCACUAUAAUUAAAAUAUGUAGAUAUUUAAAAUUUUGUUAUUUGAAAGACGUUCAUAUUAGCAUAGAUUCUAAAUAAGAAAUGAACAAAUAGACCUCUAUAUAUGAAUAGUCAAAGAUGGCAUCCACUAGAAGAAAAUCCAACAUUCAACAUUCUAAUAAAACAAUUAAUGUAAGCGCUAAUGAAAAAUUGAAAUAAGUUAAGUCUUAUUUCAUGUAAAUACUAUUCAAUCUGGAAAAAUGUGUUUUUAAUAUUUUGUGAUCAUAUUUAACUAAUAAUUUCUUAUAAUGUCAGCAUUGUGAAUAUGUAAUAUAUAAAUAAUUUUAUAUUUGCUCCAAAAAAUGGAAAAUUUAAUAAAAUUUCAUACUAAAACGAAA